RNAcentral lists this ribosomal RNA (450 nucleotides) under uncultured bacterium. RNAcentral describes it as "bacterial SSU rRNA". It matches the Rfam family "Bacterial small subunit ribosomal RNA", at positions 354 to 796 of the family's 1533-position model. The record is from RNAcentral.
GUGGGGAAUAUUGGACAAUGGGCGAAAGCCUGAUCCAGCCAUGCCGCGUGUGUGAAGAAGGUCUUCGGAUUGUAAAGCACUUUAAGUUGGGAGGAAGGGCAGUAAGUUAAUACCUUGCUGUUUUGACGUUACCAACAGAAUAAGCACCGGCUAACUUCGUGCCAGCAGCCGCGGUAAUACGAAGGGUGCAAGCGUUAAUCGGAAUUACUGGGCGUAAAGCGCGCGUAGGUGGUUCAGCAAGUUGGAGGUGAAAUCCCCGGGCUCAACCGGGGAACUGCCUCCAAAACUACUGAGCUAGAGUACGGUAGAGGGUAGUGGAAUUUCCUGUGUAGCGGUGAAAUGCGUAGAUAUAGGAAGGAACACCAGUGGCGAAGGCGACUACCUGGACUGAUACUGACACUGAGGUGCGAAAGCGUGGGGAGCAAACAGGAUUAGAAACCCCAGUAGUCC